Rhipicephalus sanguineus (brown dog tick) is the source of this 607-nucleotide long non-coding RNA. RefSeq lists it as uncharacterized. The transcript is spliced from 3 exons. Lineage: Eukaryota; Metazoa; Arthropoda; Arachnida; Ixodida; Ixodidae. The record is from RefSeq and is a predicted model, not a curated record.
GUCGGUCCGCUGCAGCCUCAACUGCGUAUAUGAUGGAGGGGUCCUCAUCAAAAUGGAUAUUGCCAUUGAACGAACACCUGCCGGUGCGAUUCUGAAUAACCUGGGGGCUCUACAAGGGUAUGCAGCAGCCGCGAGCUGAAAGACCAAGCGGGCCGCCGAGGCUCUCCGGAAACGGAAAGCAGCUAAACAGCCCCGCGCGACGAGACUGGCUGCGUGAACGUCUUAAAUACGGCUCACUUCUCUGAAAAAUCCAUGGUGAAGUUCCAGACCCAUUUCGACGGAAAGAGAUCGAGAUCAGCUACAGGCUGCCGUGCACUUCAAACGUCUGCAACGACAUGUGCAACGCGCGUGGCUGUUUCAACGGCAUAUGCAAGUAUUCGCCGGACCAAGUGGGCGCACCUCGCAUAUGCGUAUGCAAGGGAUACGCAUCUAUGUGCUCCUGAAUGAACGCCACCGUGCGACGUCUCCGAGAAGCAAGACAGAAGGGAACGAAAAUAUUGUGCUAUGAGCCACGCGGAGACGGCACCAAGCUAUGUCUUCCCGGAUUUCCUUCGGAUUAGGAACAAAGAUUAAACAACAAAUAAAUGAAUUGGUGAAUGUUUAAGCA